RNAcentral lists this transfer RNA (74 nucleotides) under Eunotia naegelii. RNAcentral describes it as "tRNA-Val". It matches the Rfam family "tRNA". From Rfam's summary of the family: Transfer RNA (tRNA) molecules are approximately 80 nucleotides in length. Their secondary structure includes four short double-helical elements and three loops (D, anti-codon, and T loops). Lineage: Eukaryota; Bacillariophyta; Bacillariophyceae; Eunotiales; Eunotiaceae. The record is from RNAcentral.
AAGUAAUUAACUCAAAUUGGUAGAGUGUCUCACUUACAAUGAGAAUGUUAAAGGUUCAAGUCCUUUAUUACUUA